GAGAGGACACACCCCGGUAGGAGGCCAGCCAGAGGGGUUCAGCAGCACACCCCCAGCGGCUGGAGGGGACCCAAGCGGCAUCCAUUUUGGGAACAGGGGCAGGCUCCUCUGAGGCCCUCAGAACAUCGACUGACCCGGGGAAAUGAGAAGAGUCACCUGGUGUUCGCCACGAGUCACCAGGAUGUGACGAAGUUACAGAAAGCCUAUCUGAUUUUAUUGUGGAAGACUUCAUUUAGCAGAGAUUUUCACUUUAGAGAAACUUAAAAAACAUCCCCCCCUGUGUUGAAUGAGAGACCUCUACACUGAGGAGGGGAUAUGAAUAUGCGCGUAAGCAACAGAAAUGCUGGUUUGGAAGCCAAGAAUUUUGCUUGUUAUCUGGAAAAGAUAUAUUAACAUACAGAGCUGAAGCUGAUGACAUCGACAAUAAAAAUAGUACUGCAACG
Long non-coding RNA from Bos taurus (domestic cattle), 443 nucleotides. The record is from Ensembl. Lineage: Eukaryota; Metazoa; Chordata; Mammalia; Artiodactyla; Bovidae.